RNAcentral lists this ribosomal RNA (505 nucleotides) under uncultured bacterium. RNAcentral describes it as "partial 16S ribosomal RNA". It matches the Rfam family "Bacterial small subunit ribosomal RNA", at positions 28 to 507 of the family's 1533-position model. The record is from RNAcentral.
GACGAACGCUGGCGGCGUCCCUAAUACUUGCAAGUAGAACGCACAGUUUAUACCGUAGCUUGCUACACCAAAGACUGUGAGAUGCGAACGGGUGAGUAACGCGUAGGUAACCUGCCUGGUAGCGGGGGAUAACUAUUGGAAACGAUAGCUAAUACCGCAUAAUAUUAUUUAUUGCAUGAUAAUUAAUUGAAAGGUGCAAUCGCACCACUACCAGAUGGACCUGCGUUGUAUUAGCUAGUAGGUGAGGUAACGGCUCACCUAGGCGACGAUACAUAGCCGACCUGAGAGGGUGAUCGGCCACACUGGGACUGAGACACGGCCCAGACUCCUACGGGAGGCAGCAGUAGGGAAUCGUCGGCAAUGGACGAAAGUCUGACCGAGCAACACCGCGUGAGUGAAGAAGGGUUUCGGAUCGUAAAGCUCUGUUGUAAGAGAAGAACGGGAGUGAGAGUGGAAAGUUCACACUGUGACGGUAUCUUACCAGAAAGGGACGGCUAACUACGUG